GUAUUUCAUUGCGUUAAACGCGACAUACAUUCCAUGAGACUUUGUUGUAGUGUGUGUGUAAAGACGCAGAACCACAGCAGGGGGACAGAGCCCACCCAGGCCAUAGAACUACAGAGGGUGCACAGGUGUGAGUGGAUGUGUAAACAGAGCGUGCACAUGCCCCCAUACAGGGACCAGCAACAACUCUUGUUGACAAUUCGGUAAUGAUCCUUCCGCAGGUUCACCUACGGAAA
Molecule: unclassified non-coding RNA, 233 nt
Filed under: uncultured fungus
Lineage: Eukaryota; Fungi
Description: sequence contains ITS1
Source: RNAcentral